GAUAAGGUUCUCCUCUAUCUCUUGUUAGUGCGGUUACUACCCGAAGGUGAAUUUUAUAUCGCCAAAUCCAUUCUAAGGACGGAGGUGACACCGCCGCCGCGGGCCUCUGCAGCCACCACCUUCGCGAGGAGCAGGCCGCAUCGUGCGCCAGCCGUGCUCCGCGUGGCCGUUUCGCCGGGAGCCGUGGGCUCGAGUGCCAGCGUAGCUUGGCAGCCACGCUCGGAGGAGCGCCGCCGGGCGUGCUGCUGCCCCUGCGCCGUGUCCGCCUUAGGCGGUCUUGCCGCGGGAGAGAAGCGCCCGCCGUCUUCACUUUACGGCGGAUGAGCACUGGUCUCCGUGAUGGGCUCGAGAGGAGCAGUGCCGGGAACGGAAGCAGAGGCCGGUCGUGCGCUGCCGCACCACGAGGAUGUGGUCCGCAUCGGCCACCAUCGCUCGUCCUGGUGCCUUGCCGAGUGCCAAGGACGGGCUGAUGAGCACGUCGCGGUGGGACGACGAGGCCACCAGCGAUGUUGCCGAUUGCAAACGGAAUUUGAUGCGGUAAAGCAUCGUUUCUUUAUCUUUCUUCGACGGUGAGCGAAAAAUCGCAGGUCCGACGCCCCGUCUCUGAGUUCUUCUAUUCUGAUUCUUGUUCUCCAGAGUAGAAUUUUUGUGUAUUCUGAUUCUUGUUCUCCAGAGUAGAAUUUUUGUGGCUAUCAUGCUCUUGGUGGGCCUGGUGCAGCGGUAGAGCCUCACCGCCUGUGACCGAGAGGUCCCAGGUUCGAGUCGCGGUCUCCUCACAUUGCACUACGUGUGAGGGUAAGGCUUGCCACUAACACCUUCCCCAGACCCCGCACAGUGCGGGAGCUCUCAGCACUGGCUUUGUAACAAUCAAUUGGUUGAAAGAUAUUAAUGAACAAUAGAUGAUUUCACUCGUGGUUGAAGAAAUUGCAUGAUGACUUCGAGUGAGAUUCAAAACAAUCUUUCAAGGUGUUGUGAAGAAGAAGCCACCCAGAUAACUAUGGGGAGUUUGGUGAUAGAUAAUACUUUGUGCUUAUUUAUGAGGCAUGUGAUAUAUCCAAGAAAGAGAAAAUGAUGGUAACGUUGAGGUACAUGAGCAAUGAAGGGGAGAAUGUGGUGGAACAAUUUCCCUUCCUAUACCACAUACUUCAUCGGAGACACUAAAUUUACCUCUUGUUAUGCUCCUUGAUAAUUACACAUACCAAUUUCAAGGCUAUGAGGGCAAAUGAUAUGAUAAGGUUCAAAUAUGAGAGGUGAAUUUAAUGGCUUGGAAAAAAUAUUCUAGAUGAAAGACCUUAUGCCUUCUGCGUCAAAUGUUUGCCCUUCAUUUACAGUUUGUUUGAAAUUGUUGCUAGAUCUUCUUGCUCAUGUAUUCAUGAUUUUUGGGUAUGCAUCCUUGAGUGUGACCAAAUGUUUGCAUCUUGCAAGAAGACUGAAAUAUUGGUGGAAGGAACUAAAAGAUAUUUUUGGAAAGGCUAGAGAGAGAUGAAAGUUUUUACAAGAGGCCUGCGUUAACAAACUAGUCUUGCUAGACCAAGAGAUAGUACACGGGGUGAUGUUCCUCCUUAUAGAACUUUGUUUCUUUUGGAUCAAAUGUGGUCCGAUGUGAUAGAAGUUCUAAGCCCAAUGGACGCAAAUGGGUGUAAUUCGAACCAUGCCGCAGGUUUCAUAGAAAUGAUGUGGCGCUUUAAGUUUUCUCUUAUUUUGAAACUUCUGCUAACGGUGUUUUGUAUGACGAAUUCGCUUUCAUGGCAUUUGCAAAUAAAAGACAAAUAUUAUGCAUGCCAUGAAAUUAGUUGAUGAUGUCAGUUCGCCACCAUGACAGAUAAUGGUUCAGUUGGCCAUCAUGAUAGCUAGUGGUAGGGAGUCUUUUUCACGAGGUCCAACAAUGGAGUUCCAAAGGUAUUCGGAUGUCAAAUAUGAAUGACAGAAAUGUCGAUUUGGGGUCGCUCAAGGCUAAGGACUAUAUCUUCAUUUGUGAAGCAGAGACUUUCUAUGUGUUAUCCAUAAAUGUUUCAAUAUGAAUCAUUACUUUG
Molecule: long non-coding RNA, 2033 nt
Organism: Lolium perenne
Lineage: Eukaryota; Viridiplantae; Streptophyta; Magnoliopsida; Poales; Poaceae
Source: RefSeq, a predicted model, not a curated record